UAGGUUACUGGCCUUUGGCAAAGGGACCUUACUUAUAUAACCAAAUUUUGUUUGGCCUUCCCUGAAUCCUUAGUAAUUGCAAAGAUUGCAGAGUUUCCUCGAGGCCAGGGUAGUCUAUAUAAAAAUGAGACGAGUGUAAAUUGAUUAAAGCAGCUAGCAAGAGUACUCUUUCUUGUCAUGAACCGAGUAUUUACAUUUCAGGUUAAAUCGGCAAACCCCAUAUUGCAGUAUCUAUAUCCCAAUACUUGUGCUCAAUAUGCGUAUAUAUGAUGUGUAUAAUAUUGUUAAAUAAUCUUGGUGCUAAAUUCAUAUUAUCAACCACUGCAUUAUAGUACCUCUCCCUCUGCUAUCAUUGCAGCAUCAUGAUCACGCCCAGUGAAUCAUUUGCAUGUCUUGUUUUAGGCUCCAGACACCUCCUAUAUAACCCCAAAAAGGAAGAAACGUACAGAAAUUAAGAAUCCUGGCCGAAAAGGAUCCUUGAUUUUGCACACUUGCUUAGUUAGUACAGCUGACAAAAAAAAAAAAAAAAAAAAGAAGGGAGAAAGGGGAAUGGCAUUAAAGACGUACGAGCGUGCUUAUUUUCCCAAAUGAUACUACAUGCACAGAGCUAGCUGGCCAAAUGCAUGCGAGCUAGCUACCUUAAUUCCUGUGGCUCAGGUUAUUGGAGGUAUAUACUUUUCCUUUUUGUUCACGACAUGGGACGUGGGCCAGUUAUCCAUGUGAACAAUUUACUGGCAUGCACAUGCAUGAUGAAUCGAUCGCACUAUUUUCCCAGCUUCAAAGAACCAAGCAAAACAAAAGUGAAAGCAGCUGGCCGGCAGGUUGUACGUACUCUGAGUACGUAUGAUGAUCAGUUGCCUUUUUAGUCGAACCUUCUGGUUGUGGCUCUGCAGAAAUGGAAAAUUGGGCUUAGAGGAUAUUCCUUUAAUUAACUUUAGUUUAGUAAUCUUGAGACCGAUAUUGUGAUUUGAUGACGUCAGUCAGAUAGAGUUCUUCUUGAGUUGAUAUAAACGUUUAUAAAGGCUUGUAUCUACUUUCAGUCGGUCAUAAACUGGUUCCCACCUUUUUUCUUCCCCUUCCUGAUUAACGGCCAGUACUUCCCAUCUUCCAUUCUAUCAGAUGAAAAAUGCUAAUUGCAAGCGCAGGAGGCAAUUGGCGUGCAAACAGCUCUGUCACGUCAGUAUUGUCAUUUUUUCUUUCCUCUUUUAAUUUUGUUCGUCUCUCUCUUAGUCCCUCCCUCUCCGUUUCCUCUCCUUUUUCUUCCAACGGACCAUUUCCUCUCUCUCUCUCUCUCUCUCUCUCGUAUAAGCAGAUAGCCACCAUUCUAAAUAAACUUCAAACUACUAUUUUUCUUUCUUCUUUUUCGGCGUUUCUCUCUCUACUUUUUCCUUUUCCGUUGUUUGGUCUGAUUGUGAGCUGAAAAGCAUGGGAUCGGUCUCUCUCUCUCAACCUCGAUUGAAAUACGGUUGAGUAUUUGUUGAGUGAACAGUAAAGAAAUAUAGAGUCAUUUUUGUUUUGAAGCCUCUGCUAUUUACGGCCGUAGUACAUUGACGUUUUUGCUCUUUUUUAUGUCAACCUCUGUUGUUUCUCUUUCUCUUCUUUACUUAUUUUUUCUCCUCUUUACUUAUUUUUUUAUCAAUUCUACUACGUACAGUCGUCCUGUGUAAGCGUGGCUGAUGUGGUUAAAUAAAAUAAAAACGCACCAUUUUGAACACGACUGAUCGUGAGUCGCUUUGUCAAAGAUGAAAGCAACUAUGGAGCUGCAGGAGACCAACAACUAUGGAGUCGAAGAUGAAAGCAGAGAUGAAGGAAGAUUAUCUGUUUAGAGCGCAUUUUAGAUUUUCAAAAGUUUCUCCACUUUUAAAGUUGCCCGAUGAGAGAAAGUGUAGAAGAAAUCUUGUACAGGCUGUAUAUGAAUACACUGGGAAGAGAAUUGGGAUGUAACUGUUACAAUUUUUGCCACUAUAAAAAAAAAAAUUGUUGUGUAUAGAAGCAGUGAAGCACCUUUCUCAUUCAGACAACGGUAGUGGGUUCUACGAGAAAGAACAGGCUCAUAGAGGUAUAGGCGCGUGGGGCAAUUUUAGGAGAUUUCAUUUUGCUUUGGUUUCACUAGGGCUUUCUAAGGGGAGAUGGCUGCCGUUGGGGGCUCUAAGGGCCCUCCGACGGUGGCAAAGAGGAGUCAUUCCUUUGCAAAGCUGGUGUCGAUCAUGCCUCAGCACAUCCCUGAGCUUGUGGUCCCAUUUUGGUCUCCAAAAGUUGUAGAUGGGGGAGGUUUUCGUUCAGUUUUCCAGAGGCAAAGUUGAGCGAUUUGCGGUCCAUUUUCGAUUUGCUAUAGUGAUGAAGUUUCUGAGGCAAAGGUCUUCAUUAGAUCGGAUCCGAGUAUUUAGGUUUCUUAGCUCCCUCCUUUUUCUUUCCAACUCACUUUCAUACUCUCACUCACCUCUCUCCCACCCCACCCUUCCAUCUUCCAAACCAAGCAAGCCCACGCUUGCAUCAUCGUCCACAGCCUUGCCUCUGAUGCUGUCGUCUUGGGUCAUGACCUUCUUUCUUGUCUUGCUCUUGCCCCAUCGUCCUCCUUGGUUACCCGAACGUUUUUGCCUCUAACAACAUGAUUUGAUGAUCGCUAAGAGUCAAGAGCGACUCGCCUCAUAGAUCAGUUGUAUCCAAAACGGUGCGUUUUCAAUUUAUUUGGCCACAUCAUGCGCUUACACGACGCUUACAUGGGGCGACUGAGUUUAGAGUUUUUCUUUUUUUAUUGUUCUCAGUUUUAUUAUUAGGGCUUUGCUACAUGCAGUCGGAAAAUACAGUCGGCAUGCAGUCGGCUGUACGAAAUGAAUAAAAAAAAAUUAUAAAAAAAUUAUUUUAUAUUCAGGGAGACCUACAUGAAUUAUAAAAAGUUAUAAAAAUAAUUUUUUUUUUUUUUUAUGUAAGUCCCGUAUUAAUUUUUUUUUUUACAAUCGACUGCACGCCGACUGCAUUUCCCGACUGCACAAAUCAUUUCUGUUAUUAUUAUUAUUAUAAAAUGUACAAUUGUUUACCUCCCGCUUGCACACCAUGUUUGUACCCAGCAGAAUUGUUAUCAAAUAUGGCAAUUGUACUGUUAGCAGAGAGUAGUACUUCUAAUAAAGUUGAUACAAUUUUAUACUUUUC
Carya illinoinensis is the source of this 3150-nucleotide long non-coding RNA. RefSeq lists it as uncharacterized. The transcript has 2 exons. The record is from RefSeq and is a predicted model, not a curated record. NCBI's taxonomy places the organism in Eukaryota, Viridiplantae, Streptophyta, Magnoliopsida, Fagales, Juglandaceae.